Molecule: ribosomal RNA, 564 nt
Filed under: uncultured cyanobacterium
Lineage: Bacteria; Bacillati; Cyanobacteriota
Description: bacterial SSU rRNA
Rfam family: Bacterial small subunit ribosomal RNA
Source: RNAcentral
GCAGUCGACGAACCUUCGGGUUAGUGGCGGACGGGUGAGUAACGCGUGAGAAUCUGCCCUCAGGAGGGGGAUAACGGCUGGAAACGGCCGCUAAUACCCCAUAUGCCGAGAGGUGAAAUGAAAUUCGCCUGAGGAUGAGCUCGCGUCUGAGUAGCUAGUUGGUGGGGUAAGAGCCUACCAAGGCAUCGAUCAGUAGCUGGUCUGAGAGGAUGAUCAGCCACACUGGGACUGAGACACGGCCCAGACUCCUACGGGAGGCAGCAGUGGGGAAUUUUCCGCAAUGGGCGAAAGCCUGACGGAGCAACGCCGCGUGAGGGAUGAAGGCCUCUGGGCUGUAAACCUCUUUUAUCAAGGAAGAAGAUCUGACGGUACUUGAUGAAUAAGCCACGGCUAAUUCCGUGCAGCAGCCGCGGUAAUACGGGAGUGGCAAGCGUUAUCCGGAAUUAUUGGGCGUAAAGCGUCCGCAGGCGGCCUCGUAAGUCUGUUGUUAAAGCGUGGAGCUUAACUCCAUUUCGGCAAUGGAAACUGUUGGGCUUGAGUGUGGUAGGGGCAAAGGGAAUUCCC